Molecule: long non-coding RNA, 358 nt
Filed under: Elaeis guineensis (African oil palm)
Lineage: Eukaryota; Viridiplantae; Streptophyta; Magnoliopsida; Arecales; Arecaceae
Description: long non-coding RNA (EGUI_LNC016852)
Source: RNAcentral
UAUGAUGCAUUGUCUCGACUAAUGGCUAACAGGAGGCUGCGGCAAUUUUGCAAUGGCUAUACUGCUAUCCUGCCUUGGUUAUGAUGCUAUGUUUUCAAUGGGAUUCAUUUUCUUGCACCAACAGUUUCUCCAGGGAGAAGUUAUUUCCUUUUUUGGCUACUGGAGGUGUGCGAACACUUGUUCUGCAUCUGAUUACAUCAACAUGUUUAUUGUUCUUAGUUGUUUUCCUAAUGAAGUGUUUUGGACCUCCAUAUUAAGUUCCUUUUUAUGUGCUUUCCUGAGCUUCAUUCCUUUUCAGUUUCUAUUUUUCAAAAGGGUUCCUGUUGUUUGGACUAUUUUGCUCCGUUAUUGCUACGGC